RNAcentral lists this ribosomal RNA (600 nucleotides) under Triticum aestivum (bread wheat). RNAcentral's name for it is "partial small subunit ribosomal RNA". The record is from RNAcentral. Lineage: Eukaryota; Viridiplantae; Streptophyta; Magnoliopsida; Poales; Poaceae.
AUGCCGCAGUCUGGCCGGGCGAUGAGGCGCAUCCGCAAGGAACUGGAGCUGCUCUGGAUCGACCGCCCGGCCUUCUGCCGGCCCGGCCCGGCGCCCGUGACGGACCUGUUCCACUGGGAGGUGGUCAUCGACGGCCCCCACGGCAGCCCCUACGCCGGCGGCACCUUCCCCGUCGGCGUCGCCUACCCCAAGGACUACCCCUUCCACCCCAUCAAGCUCACCUUCAGAACCAAUGUGUACCACCCCAACAUCGGCCCGGAGGGGAGGGUGGCGCUGGACAUCUUCGGGAGCGAGUGGAGGCCUUCUCUCACGAUCAGCACGGCCCUCCUCUCUGUCGUCUCGGUCCUCCACGACCCCCUGCUCGACCGCCCCGUCCGCCGCGACGCCGCCCUGCUGUACAAGCGCGAGCGGGGUCUCUUCGAGCACAAGGCCAGGGACUGGACCCGCAGGUACGCCUCGGCGCCGGUCGCCUCCUUCUAUCCGGCGGGGACGGAGACGUUCGAGGAGGCGGCGGCCAGCGGGGCAGUGGCACGUCGUCGUUCUUGCGGGGCAGGGCAAUGGCGCUCCUUCGCGGCUCGUCUCCCAUGCAUCCAGCCAUGA